GUCAGGAUGGCUGAGUGGUCUAAGGCGCUAAAUUCAAGUUCUCGGGGCGUGGGUUCAAAUCCCACUCCUGACA
Molecule: non-coding RNA, 73 nt
Organism: Hemiscyllium ocellatum (epaulette shark)
Lineage: Eukaryota; Metazoa; Chordata; Chondrichthyes; Orectolobiformes; Hemiscylliidae
Source: the annotation of a RefSeq genome assembly